RNAcentral lists this ribosomal RNA (549 nucleotides) under uncultured fungus. Its description in RNAcentral is "eukaryotic LSU rRNA". The stretch from base 187 to 340 matches the Rfam family "5.8S ribosomal RNA". Lineage: Eukaryota; Fungi. The record is from RNAcentral.
AAGUCGUAACAAGGUUUCCGUAGGUGAACCUGCGGAAGGAUCAUUACCGAGUGCGGGCCCCUCGGGGCCCAACCUCCCACCCGUGUUGCCCGAACCUAUGUUGCCUCGGCGGGCCCCGCGCCCGCCGACGGCCCCCCUGAACGCUGUCUGAAGUUGCAGUCUGAGACCUAUAACGAAAUUAGUUAAAACUUUCAACAACGGAUCUCUUGGUUCCGGCAUCGAUGAAGAACGCAGCGAAAUGCGAUAACUAAUGUGAAUUGCAGAAUUCAGUGAAUCAUCGAGUCUUUGAACGCGCAUUGCGCCCUCUGGUAUUCCGGAGGGCAUGCCUGUCCGAGCGUCAUUGCUGCCCUCAAGCCCGGCUUGUGUGUUGGGCCCCGUCCCCCCCGCCGGGGGGACGGGCCCGAAAGGCAGCGGCGGCACCGCGUCCGGUCCUCGAGCGUAUGGGGCUUCGUCACCCGCUCUAGUAGGCCCGGCCGGCGCCAGCCGACCCCCAACCUUUAAUUAUCUCAGGUUGACCUCGGAUCAGGUAGGGAUACCCGCUGAACUUAA